This 99-nucleotide ribosomal RNA is filed under the name Candidatus Cloacimonadota bacterium. The record is from RNAcentral. Lineage: Bacteria; Pseudomonadati; Candidatus Cloacimonadota.
GAGGCAACACCUGUACCCAUUCCGAACACAGCAGUUAAGCUCUUUUGCGUCGAUGGUACUGCUCGGGCAACCGUGUGGGAGAGUAGAUAACCGCCAUCU